GAUGAAGAACGCAGCGAAAUGCGAUACGUAAUGUGAAUUGCAGAAUUCAGUGAAUCAUCGAGUCUUUGAACGCACAUUGCGCCCCCUGGUAUUCCGGGGGGCAUGCCUGUCCGAGCGUCAUUGCUGCCCUCAAGCACGGCUUGUGUGUUGGGCCUCCGUCCUCCUCCCGGGGGACGGGCCCGAAAGGCAGCGGCGGCACCGCGUCCGGUCCUCGAGCGUAUGGGGCUUCGUCACCCGCUCUUGUAGGCCCGGCCGGCGCUUGCCGAAACAUCAAUCUUUUUUCCAGGUUGACCUCGGAUCAGGUAGGGAUACCCGCUGAACUUAAGCAUAUCAAUAAGCGGAGGA
This 345-nucleotide unclassified non-coding RNA is filed under the name soil metagenome. Its description in RNAcentral is "partial contains 5.8S ribosomal RNA, internal transcribed spacer 2, and large subunit ribosomal RNA". The stretch from base 1 to 120 matches the Rfam family "5.8S ribosomal RNA", at positions 35 to 154 of the family's 154-position model. The record is from RNAcentral.